UGAGGAAUAUUGGUCAAUGGACGCAAGUCUGAACCAGCCAAGUAGCGUGCAGGAUGACGGCCCUAUGGGUUGUAAACUGCUUUUAUAUGGGGAUAAAGUGGGGAACGUGUUCCCUUUUGCAGGUACCACAUGAAUAAGGACCGGCUAAUUCCGUGCCAGCAGCCGCGGUAAUACGGAAGGUCCGGGCGUUAUCCGGAUUUAUUGGGUUUAAAGGGAGCGUAGGCUGUCUAUUAAGCGUGUUGUGAAAUAUACCGGCUCAACCGGUGGCUUGCAGCGCGAACUGGUCGACUUGAGUAUGCAGGAAGUAGGCGGAAUUCAUGGUGUAGCGGUGAAAUGCUUAGAUAUCAUGACGAACUCCGAUUGCGCAGGCAGCUUACUGUAGCAUAACUGACGCUGAUGCUCGAAAGUGCGGGUAUCAAACAGG
RNAcentral lists this ribosomal RNA (424 nucleotides) under Verrucomicrobiota bacterium. RNAcentral describes it as "Verrucomicrobia bacterium partial 16S ribosomal RNA". It matches the Rfam family "Bacterial small subunit ribosomal RNA", at positions 355 to 776 of the family's 1533-position model. Lineage: Bacteria; Pseudomonadati; Verrucomicrobiota. The record is from RNAcentral.